GGUGCACGGGUUAAAGAGGGGGAGAUAAAUUAUGACGGAAUAAUUAAUAACACUUUAAAACAAAUUUAUUUGUUCCAAACAUAUUUAUGAAAGGCUUAAUAAAGAAGGGUUACAACAUUUAUUUAAGCACAUAAAGGAAAGCAAGUGAAGUUGUACCGAAAUAAUAGGUUUUCAAGGAUAAAUAAGGUCAUGAUAGGUGGUUUUGAAAAGACUAGAACAUGUA
RNAcentral lists this long non-coding RNA (223 nucleotides) under Vigna radiata. RNAcentral describes it as "long non-coding RNA (VRAD_LNC006754)". Lineage: Eukaryota; Viridiplantae; Streptophyta; Magnoliopsida; Fabales; Fabaceae. The record is from RNAcentral.